This 823-nucleotide RNase P RNA is filed under the name Streptococcus mutans LJ23. The stretch from base 449 to 823 matches the Rfam family "Bacterial RNase P class B". The record is from RNAcentral. Lineage: Bacteria; Bacillati; Bacillota; Bacilli; Lactobacillales; Streptococcaceae.
AAGACUUGAUUUUUGAAAUAAUUUUCUGUAUGAUUAAAAAUGAUGGAACAGCUGUAAGCUGGUCGAAAUGAUAUGUUUGGAGAGAUAAAAGUAUGGCAAGUAUUAUGUACACCCCUAAAGAUAUUUUUGAACAAGAAUUUAAAUCUAGCAUGCGUGGCUAUGACAAAAAAGAAGUUGACGAAUUCCUUGACGAUAUUAUUAAGGAUUAUGAAACCUAUAUUUCCACAAUCGAAGAAUUGCGUCAAGAAAAUACGCGCUUAAAAGAAGAAGUAAAACAAGCUAAAAAACGUCAAGAGGCCGCUCAAACAACAGUAUCUCCAGCAGCUUCUGUAAGUUCUAGUCGUGUGGCGACUACCGCUACAAAUUUUGAUAUUUUAAAACGUAUCAGUCGUUUAGAAAAAGAAGUUUUUGGUAAACAAAUUACCGAAUAGAUUAAGAAAACGAUGCAAUUUUUGGAUAAUCGCGUGGUAAAUAUUGCAAUUUUAUCAUGAGGAAAGUCCAUGCUAGCACUGGCUGUGAUGCCAGUAGUGUUUGUGCUAGACAAAAAAAUAAGUCUAGGGAUGUGCUUUGCGCAUUACGGCGGAUAAAAUGGCUAAGUCUUUGAUAGGCCGGAGUAAUUCUGAAAGUGCCACAGUGACGUAGCUUUUAUGGAAACAUAAAAGGUGGAACGCGGUAAACCCCUCAAGCUAGCAACCCAAACUUUGGUAGGGGCAUGGAAAAGCUGGAAAAAGAACGGUCUUUUCUGACUGCAUAAGCAGUAGACAGAUGAUUAUCAAAAAAGGUGGUACCUAGUCACCUUUGGAACAAAACAUGGCUUAUAGAA